Molecule: ribosomal RNA, 413 nt
Filed under: uncultured bacterium
Lineage: Bacteria
Description: bacterial SSU rRNA
Rfam family: Bacterial small subunit ribosomal RNA
Source: RNAcentral
GUGUCAGCCGCCGCGGUAAAACGUAGGUCCCGAGCGUUGUUCGGAUUCACUGGGUGUAAAGGGCGCGUAGGUGGCUGUCUGUGUCUCAUGUGAAAACUCAGGGCUCAACUCUGAGAUUGCGUGGGAAACUAGGCAGCUAGAGGACGGUAGAGGGGAGUGGAAUUCCCGGUGUAGCGGUAAAAUGCGUAGAUAUCGGGAGGAACACCGGUGGCGAAGGCGGCUUUCUGGACUGCACCUGACGCUGAGGCGCGAAAGCUAGGGGAGCGAACCGGAUUAGAUACCCGGGUAGUCCUAGCCGUAAACGAUGGGUGCUAGGUGUUGGGGGGUAAAGACCCUUCAGUGCCGAAGCCAACGCGAUAAGUGCCCCGCCUGGGGAGUACGGUCGCAAGGCUGAAACUCAAAGAAAUUGGCGG